Molecule: ribosomal RNA, 405 nt
Filed under: uncultured bacterium
Lineage: Bacteria
Description: bacterial SSU rRNA
Rfam family: Bacterial small subunit ribosomal RNA
Source: RNAcentral
AGUGAACGCUGGCGGCAGGCCUAACACAUGCAAGUCGAGCGGCAGCGCGUCCGACCACCCUCGGGUGGUUGGAUGGCGGCGAGCGGCGGACGGGUGAGGAAUGCAUCGGAAUCUGCCUCGUUGUGGGGGAUAACGUAGGGAAACUUACGCUAAUACCGCAUACGACCUACGGGUGAAAGUGGGGGACCUUCGGGCCGUCACGCGAUGAGAUGAGCCGAUGCCGGAUUAGCUAGUUGGCGGGGGUAAAGGCCCACCAAGGCGACGAUCCGUAGCUGGUCUGAGAGGAUGAUCAGCCACACUGGAACUGAGACACGGUCCAGACUCCUACGGGAGGCAGCAGUGGGGAAUAUUGGACAAUGGGGGCAACCCUGAUCCAGCCAUGCCGCGUGUGUGAAGAAGGCCUUC